This 502-nucleotide ribosomal RNA is filed under the name uncultured bacterium. RNAcentral's name for it is "partial 16S ribosomal RNA". It matches the Rfam family "Bacterial small subunit ribosomal RNA", at positions 30 to 523 of the family's 1533-position model. The record is from RNAcentral.
AUUGAACGCUGGCGGCGGGCCUAACACAUGCAAGUCGAACGGCAGCGCGGGAGCUUGCUCCUGGUGGCGAGUGGCGGACGGGUGAGUAAUGUAUGGGGAUCUGCCUGAUGGAGGGGGAUAACAACUGGAAACGGUUGCUAAUACCGCGUAAUGUCGCAAGACCAAAGAGGGGGACCUUCGGGCCUCUUGCCAUCAGAUGAACCCAUAUGGGAUUAGCUAGUAGGUGAGGUAAUGGCUCACCUAGGCGACGAUCCCUAGCUGGUCUGAGAGGAUGACCAGCCACACUGGAACUGAGAGACGGUCCAGACUCCUACGGGAGGCAGCAGUGGGGAAUAUUGCACAAUGGGGGAAACCCUGAUGCAGCCAUGCAGAGUGUGUGAAGAAGGCCUUAGGGUUGUAAAGCACUUUCAGUCGGGAGGAAGGUAAUAAAGAUAAUACCUUUAUUAAUUGACGUUACUGACAGAAGAAGCACCGGCUAACUCCGUGCCAGCAGCCGCGGUAA